Molecule: long non-coding RNA, 2104 nt
Organism: Malurus melanocephalus (red-backed fairy wren)
Lineage: Eukaryota; Metazoa; Chordata; Aves; Passeriformes; Maluridae
Exons: 3
Source: RefSeq, a predicted model, not a curated record
AUACUCUACAGAGUCUGAAGGCUCCCAGAACUGAGGCAGUCAGCAGACUCCCUGGGCACAGAACUGACUUCAACGGGAAAUACUCAAGACUAUUCGCCUGUGGUUUGCUGAGCUGUUGGUGCACAAAACGGCCGCGUGACGGCGCUCCAACACAACCGCAUGAGAGAAAACAUUGGUCAAAGGAAAAACAGACCAGGAAAAAAGGGGAAAAAGGGUCAAACAAGGAAAGCAAAUAGUACCUCAUCAUCUUCAUCUGUGAGCUCCUGCCCUUCUUCAUUAUGGCUAUAAUCUUCUGAAUAAAUAGACUCAACUUCAAACUCAACACUGAACUGGUCUGAUACAGAACUGUGGUCGAACCAAUCAGAAUUUUCACUUAAUGAACUGGCAUCAAGAUCCUUAAAAAACAAAAGAAAGCAGACAUUCAACCUCACCAGUCCAUACACAUAACACUACUGUUAAAACAACUCUUAGGAUAAAACUUACUACUCAGUAUAAUYACCUAUGGAAGAAAAAGGUCCAGCUGCCACUAGAGAACUUUUUAUGCAACAAACAAAUUACAGGUAGGUAAAAAUAAAGAUAAAUCUGAAAGCCUUUUGUUUGCUCUGUAAUAAAAAGCUGCACUCAGCGUACAGCCAGCUGAAAGACUGCGGUUAUUAUUUCAGAAAGUCCCUCCUAAAAAGUGAAAGAACAGAUGCAAGAAGACAGUAUCUUUUGGCUGCAUUCAUUAAAUUCUGUUCUCACCAACUUUGUUUCAUCUGGGACUGUGGCUAAAUCAUUACAAAAUAGGGAGACCAAAGACACAGUAUUAGUUCYGUCAAUUUAGAAUACAGUACUUGACUAGGAAUACUGCUAGUUUAGCGCUUGAYUUAAUCUAACCACAAAUAAUUUGCCUUGGUGUUUCCUAAAAACAACAGAUAACUUUCAAGUAGCGRCACGGCAAAUGAGUAAAAUGUACCAUCAGCAUACUUACUGCUGGGGACAGUCAACAAAAUUGUACCAAAACUACAACUAAUUCUGAAUUAUGGAAUGUCUAUGACUCCUUUUGUCUCUUACCAUUCURAAAAACAAUUUUAAAACACAAAAUGCAUCUGAUUUUUUCUCAUCCUGUGCCAAGCAGUGAGGAUCYUGGUUUUUAAAGACUACUCAAUGUUAAUAUUUAAAAAAAUUUCACUUUAGCUUUGCCAGCAGAUCCAUGAAAUGACACACUCCACCCACACACCAAUUUUUUUAACCUCUUUUCUUUCCUCAGACACCACUGAAGGCACUGCUGCUUUUAAUUAAGAACAUGUUUUCAGAUGCAUGUUUGCAUUUGGGGCAUCUGCAAAAUUUGUACCACAAAAGUAUUUUACAUUUCUAUUUUUACUUACAGGAAUAGACAGAGAAUCUGUUGAAUCACUGCUAUUGCUUCUUUCACGGCACAGACCACUGACUACACACCAUGAGAGACUUUCGUCAAACGUCAAUGAAAUGCUGUCUGACUUGUGUCGCUUUCUUCUAUCACUAGGCAGAUCAUCUGAAGAAUUUUCUUCUGGGCAUAGUCAAGAAUUUUUAGUUACUAAAACAACAUCUAUUCAAUACACAGUUUUGAAUAUUUUUAACAGAUGCUUAAAAUACAAUUUCCUAUGAAGAAAUCUAGUAAAAUAAAAUAUUUCAGUAUUAUUUUAUGGGAGGAAAAAGGCACUAAAACUUAUUUAAAAAGACACAACACUUAUACCCAAAAAGUGUGAAAYAUUUCUGAAACCAGUAUUUCAGGGGCUGGCUUUCCACAUUUGUCUCAUUAGUAAAGCUUAUGAAUAGCAGUCUCCACAUGUAGGAAAUUAAACAAUUGCGAAUUUGAAAGAAUUUUUACUCCCUACAUGACAUGUUAAACUCUUUCUAAUUUUAAGAAACACAAUUAGAAUCUUGUCCUCACUCCCUCCACAGUCAAUAAGCAGAAAGGCACUUUCAGAGGGCUUCUGAGUCCAUCCCAGAAUUUGCAGGGAGACAGAACAAUUAGCUCCCAGGUCCCAYGCACACAGACAGCCUUGUGCUAAGAAAGUUAAGUUCAGGUUCAAGUUUCAGACACCUCAACGAAUUUAUCAGUGAAUAUUCGCACUAUAUGCAA